AAGAAAGUAUGCAAGAACUGCUAACUCUAUGCCACCAUGCAUAAAAACAUGGCUUUCUUA
This 60-nucleotide transfer RNA is filed under the name Malacomys edwardsi (Edward's swamp rat). RNAcentral describes it as "tRNA-Ser". Lineage: Eukaryota; Metazoa; Chordata; Mammalia; Rodentia; Muridae. The record is from RNAcentral.